RNAcentral lists this ribosomal RNA (402 nucleotides) under Triticum aestivum (bread wheat). RNAcentral's name for it is "partial small subunit ribosomal RNA". Lineage: Eukaryota; Viridiplantae; Streptophyta; Magnoliopsida; Poales; Poaceae. The record is from RNAcentral.
AUGCAUUGGAUAUCAUGGGAUAAACUAGCUACACCGAAAUGCAAAGGUGGAAUGGGCUUUCGUGAUCUCCGCAUGUUCAACCUAGCUCUUUUGGGGAAGCACGGAUAGCGCUUUAUGACUAACCUCAACACUCUAUGCGCUCGGGUUUUGAAGGGCCGUUACUUCCCAGAUUGUGAGUUUCAGCUCGCCACAGUACCAAAAGCCGCAUCUGCUACUUGGCGAGCCAUCGUUGCCGGUCGAGAGGCCCUCGAUGCUGGCCUUAUCAAACGCGUGGGCACCGGUUCAACCAUAUCCAUAUGGGAGGACCGAUGGAUUCCUUCGACAGUAUCUAUGACUCCCAUGCUGAGACCUCAAAAUGCUUUUGUUCAGUUGGUUAGUGAGCUGAUCGACACUGACAACUAG